CCUACGGGUGGCUGCAGUGGGGAAUAUUGGGCAAUGGGCGCAAGCCUGACCCAGCAACGCCGCGUGAAGGAAGAAGGCUUUCGGGUUGUAAACUUCUUUUCUCAGGGACGAAGCAAGUGACGGUACCUGAGGAAUAAGCCACGGCUAACUACGUGCCAGCAGCCGCGGUAAUACGGGGGGUGCAAGCGUUGUCCGGAAUCAUUGGGCGUAAAGAGUUCGUAGGCGGCACGUAAAGUCUGGUGUUAAAGGCAGAGGCUCAACUUCUGUACGGGACUGGAUACUUGCGAGCUAGAAUGCGGUAGAGGUAAAGGGUAUUCCGGGGGUAGCGGUGAAAUGCUUAGAUAUCAGGAGGAACAUCGGUGGCGGAAGCGAGUGACUGGGCCGUAAUUGACGCUGAGGAACGAAAGCCAGGGUAGCAAAUGGGAUUAGAUACCCCUGUAGUC
This 443-nucleotide ribosomal RNA is filed under the name uncultured bacterium. Its description in RNAcentral is "partial 16S ribosomal RNA". It matches the Rfam family "Bacterial small subunit ribosomal RNA", at positions 338 to 795 of the family's 1533-position model. The record is from RNAcentral.